AAAACAACAAUUUGGUGGAGCUACAGAUACAACAUGAUCUUACUGAAGUUGCAGUUGGUAAUGUGACUACUGUCGGUAUAAUUAAAUAAACAAAAAACCAGCGUUAAUAAGAAAACAAAAUAAAAUAGGUUGUCUAUUCAAAUUGUUAUUGUGUUAUGGCAGUUAGGACAAAUUAUAUGGGGAGAGUGGGGACAACAGUUAAGUGGUUGUGAGUUGGCCAUGUCAGACAUCUCGUUACUACCUCUAAUUAUAAAUUAUUUAUGCAGACAGAUUCACAUAAAUUAAUUAAUCGGUAAAUUACUAGUCACGUAAAGGUCUCUAAACCCUCGUUUGACAUGUUAUUUUGUAGCUUCCAGAUAAUACAAUAUUGGAUGCUCAUACCAUUUAGGUAGUGGCGGUAAGAGUUGACUUGAAAAGGGUUGGUUCUUUUGAGUUAGAUUUCAAUCGAUAACUAAAUUUUUGUUUAGCCAAACAAUAAUGAAAUCAUGUCUCUAGUUUAUUAAGAAUUUUAGAGACUGUCCUGGGAGAUUAGUUGGACUUUUGCUGACAUACCUUAUGGUUAGCAAAAAAAAAAAAAAAAAAAAUUCUCGUGGAGUAUACUACGGUCUACAAUCAUCAGUCUACUCUAUAUGUCACUAGGGUGAGUCCGUAGGGCGAAAAGUUAGAAAAAAAUUAUUUUAUAUGAAUUUACACUAAUUUUAUGAAGCAUUUUUAUAAAAAAAUUGUAGAUGGAAAACGAUAUUAUAAACAAAAAUAAAUAAAUAAAAUUCGGAGAUCAUGUUGUUAUUUUUAAUAAAUAUUUUUGGACUAAAUUAAAAUGACAGUAACUUUCACUAUUCUACGAAGAACAAUCUAAUAUAAUAAGAUUAAUGAUGUCCGCGUAUAAAAAUGCAAUGAUCAUGCCAGAGAAAUAUGUUAAGGAAAAGCUUAUAUAUUAUCUAAGCCAAAGCAACAUUUUGUUAGUGUGAGUAGUUUGGUCUAUGUAUGUUUUAGUUAAAAUGUGAUAGUUUUCUCGUAAUGAAAGUCAUACUUCAACUUCCUUGUCACUCUUUAAAUUGAAUACGGUCUAUCGUUAUUAAAAAAAAUUUAGAAUAUAUUAGAUAGGUUUUAAUUUAGAAGUUAUUAAUACCGUGAAAACUAGUGUUAAAAAUUAACAAUAUAUUUAAAUUAAAUGGUAAUAUUGCAUGGACGUUUUUAUAUAAUCCAUGAUCAUAUGUAAUAAAGAGCUUAUGCUGCACAUACAUGUAAUUAUCUUGCAAAAUAUAUUUUUGCAUUGGUGUAUUAAUACUUUGAAAUAAAACCGUUUACCUUAAAAAGGGAAUCGUUCAAAAUUUUCAAAUAUCAGAGUGUUUGUUUAUUCAAAUAGCUAAGUAUGAGUAAUAUAUAAUAAUAUGUUUGUGCUAUUGUAUGAAAAAAGAAAGAAGUUAGGAGCACUAUUUAUCGUGAAAUCAUGGACUUUAAAAAAUAAAUUGAUGUAAAUGGGUAAAGCAAAUAAUUAUAGGAGCACUAUUUAUCGUAAAAUCAUGGACCUUAAAAAAAUAAAUUGAUGUAAAUAGGUAAAGCAAAUAAUUAUUCCUAUGUUUUCUUUUUGCUAAAACAUUCUUCAUAUGUUAAAUGCUCAGUAUAUGUAUAUCACUUUAGUAAAUUCAAUUUUUCAUUCACUAUAUAAUAUUAUAUAUUUUAUAUGUACGUUCACUAAUAUACUAUAAACCUACUGGUUCAUCUAGUUUUUUUGGUUUUUAUGGGCUAUUUUACACAUUAAAAUAAAUAAAAAUAUUGUAUUGUAUUUUCGACACAUGUAAAUCCAAUUAAAAUCAUCGAACUCGAUUCUAUUGAUUUACAUUAAUUUGUCAUACAGGUAUGAUCGGAUUGAAUAUCAACAAUAUCAUAAGAGCUGUUUUUAUGAUGUAUUCAUAAGACGAAGAACACGACAUUAUUUGUUUACUAAAAUAUAAAAGUAUAUUGUUAAAAAUAUUAUUUUUAAUUUGAUCUAUAGCCCACACAACAAUAAUUCUGCAUGUUUAUGAGUUACACCAAAAGCCCACAUGAUCUCUAACUCCAAAUUAAUGAAACUCAAAAUGCGGAUACGUGUUGGCUUCUCAAGACUCGAAUUAGUGAUGUGUCCGCCUACGUGGACAACCUAGGAGGAACCAAAUCCAACUUUUUAUAUAAAGAAUAGGGCCGGUCCACCCUACGGGCGGGAUAUUAUUUCGAAAAUAGUUGAAAUAGUUAGAGUAAAUAUUUAAUAUAAUUUUUUAUUAACUUAAAAUUUAAAUAUUAGUUUAUCUCUGUAUUUCUUUUUCUUUUUUUGAAGUCUAAAUAUGGCUUUGUUGUGGUUUUAUAAUUCAGAACAUUUUUCACAAUUAUUUAGAAAAUAAAAUGUGUAUUAAUGAUACAGAGAUCUACAAUCAAAUUAAUGGCUCUGCAUAGUUGAUUUUGAGGUUAUUAUAAAAUAAAUUCAAGUUUUAAAUAUAUGCACGACACUUUAAAUUUAAAUAUAUGCAUGAAAAUCUAACUUUAAACAUAUGCAUGAUAAUUUAAAAGUGUAAUAACCGGAUUUUUUAUUAUUUGAUUGAAAAGUGUCAAUUUUAAUUACAUAUAAGAUUAAUUUAAAAAUCUGGACUUCUUUCUUUAUUCUUUAUUUAGCUUAUUUUACAUCAUCAGUUGGAAUUAGAUGAACUCUUCUUUUUGUCAUUUUUCAUACUUAUCAGCUUUAUUUGUUAGCCACAACUAUUUUUCGUAUCCUCUUGUUUUUUUGAACCGAAAGUCCUCUUGUUUUUAAUAGGGGAAUUGGGCUGUAUAAUCUUCAAACAAAUUAUAAUUCAUUCACUAUCUAAAGCCUCUAACUUACCUAUACAACUUGCCUCUUAUAUAUAAUAUUGUCAUAUUGCCCCUCACAUGCAACCGGUGAAACCUGUAAAAAAAAAAUAAAUUGAUUUAAUAAUAAUAAUACUGAAACACAACUCGUGGCCCUUUGAAAAACACACACUCUUUCAUAUGUAUUUAUUUUUGGUGGCUUUGCAAAAGAUGAAAGUCUUCUUCCCAGAUUUAUUCUGGAAUUGAUUUCUUCUCACAAGAAUGACAACCAAUUAUGGUAAAUAAGAGACAAUUGUUAAGGUGUACACGGUGAGUAGACAGACCAACUCUUUCAUUUAUUUUUUUUCUUCUCUUAACUCAUUGAUUUUCAGUUUCACAAUCAUGAUUUUGCUUUCAUACUCUGUUUUCGUUUUUGAAUUCUUGCAAAUGAGAUUGAAAUUAUCGCAUCAUGGUAACACUACAAAAAAAGGGGAACAUUGUGACUAAAUUUUAUGACAAAAAGUUUUGUCACAAUAUUGUGACUAUUUACUUACUAGAUAGUGACUAAAUUUUUUUGUCGCAAAAUCGUAAAUAUUUUGUCACAAUAUUGCGAUGAAUGUAUAAGUAACAAAAAAACGUUACAAAAAGUUACAAAUAUGUGACGAAGUGGUUAGUCACAGAUGAUGUUACGGAAUCGAGACUAAAACUCGUCCCUACUAGAUACAAUUUCGCGACUUCCAUUAUGUCACCCACUGUGACUGAAGUUUGUAAUCAUAUAUCAUCUCAAUUCACUCAAAAUUUAAUCUUAUUCAAACAUUAAUCUUAAAUCUAUAAUCAAAACUCCAAACACCAUACCGGAAACUCCAAACUUUAAGUUAUAAAAAUUAAAUCUUACACAUAAAGUAAUAAAUUAUAAUUACUAUAAACUUAACUAAUAUUUUACACUCAUACAACUUUUUUAAUUUUCAAUUCUAAUUUAAAAACCUUAACCUCGUACUUCUUUUUUUUUUGAAAAAGGGCAUAACCUCGUACUUUAAAGCUAAACCUCAAAUUGUAAUCCCCAAACUCCAAACCCUAAAUAAUAAAAGAUAACCUUCGACACUUUAAAUCAUUGUAGUUAAAAUCAUAAAUAAUAAACAAAACGUAAUCACUAAUUUUUAACAAAAAAUAUAAUCACUAAUUAUAUACAAAUACUUUAAACAUUUACAUAUAAAACUUAAUAAAUUUUAUUUUUUAAAAUAAAUUAAAUUUACAUACACUUUUUAAAAACCAGCAUGUUAAUCUUUUAUAAAUCUUAACACCAAACCCUAAAAACAAACUUCAAAUCAUAUACCCUAGAUAACUCUACUCUUGAACUUAGACUUUUAGUCAUAGAAAUUAAAUCACGAACUCUAAUAACAAACCUUCAACUUUAAACAAAUUCAUGCAACCAUAUACCCUAAACUCUAAAUUAUGUCUUAAUUUUUUUUUAAAUUAUCAUAAAAUUUAAUUCGUAAACCAUUACACCAACAUAUAACCAUUAAAUAUACUUAAACAAAAUUAAUCUAGUUUUAACAAAAAAAAAACAAUUUUAGUUUUCCCACGUUUUGAGAAUAUAGAACUCGUUCUGGCUUCAUUUUUUUUAGGCAUUAAUCUAGUUAUCCCACGUUUUGAGAAUAUACCUUUUUUUUUGUAACUGCGUUUUGAGAAUAUACUUCUAUCUCAUAACCCUAUUUUACUCUUCUGUCUCUUUCUUUUUAAUUUCGUGUAGCCUCCACGUACACUUUUCUCUCUUUCUCCAAACAAAUCAACAAUCCUCUUGAUUCUUUUUUUUUUGUUUCAGUUAUCCAUUUGAUUCUAUCUCUCUCAUUUUCUUAUCCCUUAGAACAUCUCUUUCUUUCACCUUAUCUCUCUGUGAUUUUAAUUUAUAAUGUUUCAGAUUCAGUGUCAUGCUCUUCUCCCUCAUUAAAGGUAGAAACUCACGACCCUACUGCCUCUCGACGACUAUACUGAUCCGUACGUAAUGCAAAUGUUAUUAACAAGUUCAUAUUUCGGAUACAGAUCGAUGUAGCUAGAUAGAGCCAAUACAUCGUCGUAGAUUUGGCGACUACCCUGUUCGAGGCUUUCAUCAGGAAAAUAUGAAAAGCCAGGAGAAUACAAGGACAGCGGGGGUGUAGACAAGGGCAGAAGAAGAAUCUACAAAUGCCGAUUGUUUGCUGUAGUUUGAUAGAGACAAAGGAGACCAGUGUUACCCUAAUUUUCUUUGCUUUGGUUUGUAUUAUAAUUGGUUAUCUAGUACCAACUUAAUUUUUUGUAACCAGUUAACCAAUAUGUGGUUCAGAUAAUCAAUAAAAUAUAUUUUAGUUACAAUUUUCUU
This is a long non-coding RNA of Brassica napus (rape), 5152 nucleotides long. RefSeq lists it as uncharacterized. NCBI's taxonomy places the organism in Eukaryota, Viridiplantae, Streptophyta, Magnoliopsida, Brassicales, Brassicaceae. The record is from RefSeq and is a predicted model, not a curated record. The transcript is spliced from 2 exons.